CAGGUGUCCCAGGGUGCUCUGUGCCAGU
RNAcentral lists this non-coding RNA (28 nucleotides) under Homo sapiens (human). Lineage: Eukaryota; Metazoa; Chordata; Mammalia; Primates; Hominidae. The record is from RNAcentral.